This 467-nucleotide ribosomal RNA is filed under the name uncultured bacterium. Its description in RNAcentral is "partial 16S ribosomal RNA". It matches the Rfam family "Bacterial small subunit ribosomal RNA", at positions 29 to 507 of the family's 1533-position model. The record is from RNAcentral.
AUGAACGCUGGCGGCGUGCUUCACACAUGCAAGUCGCACGGUGAAGGCGGAGCUUGCUCUGCUGGAUCAGUGGCGAACGGGUGAGUAACACGUGAGCAAUCUGCCCCUGACUCUGGGAUAAGCGCUGGAAACGGCGUCUAAUACUGGAUACGAGCUGCGAAGGCAUCUUCAGCAGCUGGAAAGAAUUUCGGUCAGGGAUGAGCUCGCGGCCUAUCAGCUUGUUGGUGAGGUAAUGGCUCACCAAGGCGUCGACGGGUAGCCGGCCUGAGAGGGUGACCGGCCACACUGGGACUGAGACACGGCCCAGACUCCUACGGGAGGCAGCAGUGGGGAAUAUUGCACAAUGGGCGAAAGCCUGAUGCAGCAACGCCGCGUGAGGGACGACGGCCUUCGGGUUGUAAACCUCUUUUAGCAGGGAAGAAGCGAAAGUGACGGUACCUGCAGAAAAAGCGCCGGCUAACUACGUG